UCGGGAAUUUUGGGCAAUGGGCGAAAGCCUGACCCAGCAACGCCGCGUGAAGGAUGAAGUAUUUCGGUAUGUAAACUUCGAAAGAAUAGGAAGAAUAAAUGACGGUACUAUUUAUAAGGUCCGGCUAACUACGUGCCAGCAGCCGCGGUAAUGCGUAGGGACCAAGCGUUGUUCGGAUUUACUGGGCGUAAAGGGAGCGUAGGCGGAUGUGCAAGUGAUAUGUGAAAUACCCGGGCUUAACCUGGGGAGGUCAUAUCAGACUGCACGUCUAGAAUGUGGUAGAGGAAGGUGGAAUUCCUGGUGUAGCGGUGAAAUGCGUAGAUAUCAGGAAGAACAUCAAUGGCGAAGGCAGCCUUCUGGGCCAUUAUUGACGCUGAGGCUCGAAAGCGUGGGGAGCAAACAGGAUUAGAUACCCGUGUAGUCCCUGAGCGGGCUGGCAAGGCGCAU
This 447-nucleotide ribosomal RNA is filed under the name uncultured bacterium. RNAcentral's name for it is "bacterial SSU rRNA". It matches the Rfam family "Bacterial small subunit ribosomal RNA", at positions 355 to 825 of the family's 1533-position model. The record is from RNAcentral.